GAGAGAGAGAGAGAGAGAGGGCUGGUAUGCUUCUGGAAGCACGGAGCCCUCUGUGCUUCCAAGUUGUUUUCGAUGUUCGGACUUUCGAAUCGAUGAUCGGCUCCAUUAUAGUUGAUCUAGAGUAUUUGAAAUACCUAGGAAAUAAAUUUCGUGAUUUUUCGAUAUCAUUUGCCUAGUGAUCGAAGGGGCUCAAAAUUAAUAAUUUUAACGGCCGUGGUGAGCCGUUUGCAAGUUUAACGGUGUAGAAAUAUCCAAAUCACAUGAAAUUUUGAUAGAAAAUUUUUUAUACUAUAUAAAACAAGAUUAAUAUCUUUGAUUUAAAAUUUUAAUGUCAUAUUAUUACAUUUUGUAAGAUUUUUAUUUUCAGCCGUUGAUUUUGAGCCCCUUCGUUUACUAGGCAAAUGAUAUCGUAAAAUCAUAAAAUUUAUUUUCUAGGUACUUCAAAAACUCUAGAUCAAGUUUAACGGAACCGAUCGACAAUUCGAAAGUCACAACAUCGAAAACGAGCUGGGAGCACGGAAGGCUCCGUGCUUCCGAUAGCAUAGUAGCCUCACUCCAAUAUAUAUAUAUAUAUAUAUAGAGAGAGAGAGAGAGAGAGAGAGAGAGAGAGAGAGAGAGAGAGAGUUGGACUGGGCUACUAUUAGUAGCAAAAUCCCAUUAUUGCUAUCAGUUUUUUAGCCUUUGGAUCAACUCUUUUCAUUAUUUCUAACCAUUGGAUUAAAUACUAUAACCCAGUGGGGACCACUCAAUCCUAGGGGGACCACUCAACUCUAACCGACUAAUAUCAUCCUGACCCUAUAAUUUUUCAUCCAAAGAUUAAAAACUUGAUAGCAAAAAGAGCGUUUUACUAUUAAUAGUAUUUUAGCCUAUAUAUAUAUAUAUAUAUAUAUAUAAUAUGAGUAAGCUACUAUCUAAUCGGAAGUAGGAUGUCAACAGGUCAAGUUUGGAUCUGUUUUUAAAAAAUUCGAAUCGAAUCUGAAAAUCAAAUUAAAACUCCGGACACGAAAUCCGAGUCUUGCGGGUUUAAAAUGCCAUACCCAAUAUCCAUAUAUUAAAAGUUAAUAGUUAUAGGAUUUUUUAAAACGCCGCCGGUUCAAUAUCCAAAUCUCCGACCCAUUACAUCCCUAAUGCGGAAGCACGGAGCGCUCCGUGCUUCCAAGUUGUUUUCGAUGUUCGGACUUUCGAAUCGACGAUCGGCUCCGUUAGACUUGAUCUAGAGUAUUUGAAGUAUCUAGGAAAUAAAUUUUGCGAUUUUUCGAUAUCAUUUACCUAGUGAUCGAAGUGGCUCAAAAUCAACGGCUGAAAAUAAAAAUCUUACAAAAUAUGAUGAUAUGACAUUAAAAUUUUAGAUCAAAGUUAUUGAUCUUGUUUUAUAUGGUAUAAAAAAUUUUCUAUCAAAAUUUCAUGUGAUUUGUAUAUUUCUACACCGUUAAACUUGCAAACGGCUCACCACGGCCAUUAAAAUUAUUGAUUUUGAGCCCCUUUGAUCACUAGGCAAAUGAUAUCGAAAAAUCACAAAAUUUAUUUUUUAGGUACUUCAAAUACUCUAGAUCAAUUCUAACGGAGCCGAUCGUCGAUUCGAAAGUCCGAACAUCGAAAACAACUUGGAAGCACAGAGGGCUCCGUGCUUCCAGAAGCAUAACAGCCCACUCUAUACAUAUAU
RNAcentral lists this long non-coding RNA (1663 nucleotides) under Ananas comosus (pineapple). RNAcentral describes it as "long non-coding RNA (ACOM_LNC039477)". Lineage: Eukaryota; Viridiplantae; Streptophyta; Magnoliopsida; Poales; Bromeliaceae. The record is from RNAcentral.